GAUAAUGUAAUAUUAUAAUCCAAGUGGGUUUCGGAAAGAAUUGAGAGUAGGGAAAACCUAUAUAAAAGGAACCUCUUUCAGAUUUCAGGAACACAAUUCCCUCAAACAAACACACAAAUCUUUGCUUCUGUCGCAAUUUCAUGACGCUCUCGUGUUCCCUGCUGUAUACGUGCUUUUGAAGAAUCAGCGCUUUGAUUCAAUUCCAUCCCGCGGUUUCUGUCUAUAAAUUUGAAUUGGUUAUUUUUCGUGCUGGGUUCAAAUUGAAACCCUAGUGCCCACUGAAGCCUGUUGAAGAAUCCUGAGUGCGUCUAGAGAAUUAGCAUGAUACAAUUCUGUUUGGUGUUAUUUUGGUACAACUCUGUAUCGAUUCUGUUUGUAUUUCAAUAUUUUCAACUAGCCCUAUUUUAUUCUUGAUAAUAGGGCCUCGUUGUUAUUAUUGUUCUUGAUUUAUUUUUCUAUGAAAAAUAAUUCA
This 472-nucleotide long non-coding RNA is filed under the name Nicotiana benthamiana. RNAcentral's name for it is "long non-coding RNA (NBEN_LNC013654)". Lineage: Eukaryota; Viridiplantae; Streptophyta; Magnoliopsida; Solanales; Solanaceae. The record is from RNAcentral.